Molecule: long non-coding RNA, 273 nt
Filed under: Mus musculus (house mouse)
Lineage: Eukaryota; Metazoa; Chordata; Mammalia; Rodentia; Muridae
Description: long non-coding RNA chr4:101884039-101884312
Source: RNAcentral
GAAAAGUCUGUCUGUUAUCUAGGAGUAGCCUCCAUCAACAGAAGAGACAGUGGUGUGCUUUUGACUGGUGAGGCAGGAAUCCUGUGCACAUUCCCAGCCCAGUGUCUGUUCAGUGACAUCAGGAUCCUCCAGGAGAGAUGCUCACACUUUGUAGAAAAUAAUUUGAGUUUAGGGACCUCUGGUGAGAACUUUGUUCCUUACAUGCCCCAAUUUCAAACCUGUUCCACGCACAGUCACAAGAUAAUGGAGAAUAAGAUGUGUGGCUUAACUGUG